AGUAAAAUGACUGAAAUUUAAGUGAUAAAUUGUAAAUUUAUUUAUAAAUAUUAAAAUAUUUUUUUACUA
This 69-nucleotide transfer RNA is filed under the name Hydromanicus huapingensis. RNAcentral describes it as "tRNA-Tyr". The record is from RNAcentral. Lineage: Eukaryota; Metazoa; Arthropoda; Insecta; Trichoptera; Hydropsychidae.